RNAcentral lists this ribosomal RNA (855 nucleotides) under Triticum aestivum (bread wheat). RNAcentral's name for it is "partial small subunit ribosomal RNA". Lineage: Eukaryota; Viridiplantae; Streptophyta; Magnoliopsida; Poales; Poaceae. The record is from RNAcentral.
AUGAAACCUACUGGUCAACUAGGGGCGACGCCCUUACACACUGUCUCAGAGUUGAUAGAUGACUAUACUGGGAACUGGAAUGUCAGUUUGGUCCGCCAAAACUUUCUUCACCCGGACGCGGAAGCGAUCCUUAAUAUACCCUUGAACAGAUCAGGCGGGGAAGAUAGUUUGGCGUGGUCGUUGGAAAAGUCGGGUAACUAUACUGUAAAAUCAGCGUAUCACUCUCUCAUGACUCGGAACGAGCUUAGUUCUCUAGAGGAAGGGACGAGGACGGACACUUCAUCAGCAAAUAAACAGUUAUGGACCGUACUUUGGAAAUUGCGGGUGGUGCCGAAGGUUAGGGUUUUCUGGUGGAGGGUUUUGCGGGGCAUCCUGCCAGACUACAUGACUCUACAGCAUCGGCACAUCAAACCACUUGGCCGCUGCGAUCUCUGCAAGGCCAUGAAUGAAGACUUAAAGCAUGCACUUGUCUCGUGCUCACAUGCCAAACAAUUCUGGAUUGCUGCGAAGGAUCGGUUCGAUCUUCAUUUGCCGAGGCUGCAUCCGCUAACAUGGGCGCGGGACAUUGUGCUCGAUGAGAUGUUUUCUGAUGAAGCUCGUUGUCAGAUUAUCACCAUUAUGCAUGCAAUAUGGACCUCGAGGAACAAAUGGACCCACGAUCAGGAGGGUUUCUCCCCAGGGCAAGCGCUCAAGUGGAUCCAUGAAGCCCCCGCCAUACUCGAUUUACCUGACCGUCGACCAGGUGUACAGACGAGACGGAGCUGGAACCCCCCUGAUGCGGGGUGGAUCACCACCAACGUUGAUGGUUCAGUAUUCCCAGACGGGUUGAUAGGAGGAGCAGGCGGCGUAGCCUGA